RNAcentral lists this transfer RNA (67 nucleotides) under Cleroidea sp. 1 KM-2017. Its description in RNAcentral is "tRNA-Tyr". It matches the Rfam family "tRNA". From Rfam's summary of the family: Transfer RNA (tRNA) molecules are approximately 80 nucleotides in length. Their secondary structure includes four short double-helical elements and three loops (D, anti-codon, and T loops). Lineage: Eukaryota; Metazoa; Arthropoda; Insecta; Coleoptera. The record is from RNAcentral.
GGUAAAAUGGCUGAGAAUUAAGCAAUAAAUUGUAAAUUUAUUAACGAAUUAAAAAAUUCUUUUACCA